UGAUGAUUCUAAUGCCAUUGAC
Molecule: non-coding RNA, 22 nt
Filed under: Arabidopsis thaliana (thale cress)
Lineage: Eukaryota; Viridiplantae; Streptophyta; Magnoliopsida; Brassicales; Brassicaceae
Source: RNAcentral